This 233-nucleotide long non-coding RNA is filed under the name Gallus gallus (chicken). The record is from RNAcentral. Lineage: Eukaryota; Metazoa; Chordata; Aves; Galliformes; Phasianidae.
GGCAGAAGCAGCUGCAUACUGUAGGAUACCAUGUUCAGGUGCUUUCUGCACAUAUGCAGAGGAAGUGCUACAGCUGUUUCCCAAGAAAGCAGCCUGGACCCUUGCUUCUGCCAUCAGCCAGAUGGGAUUUGGCUCCUUUAAGCCUGCUUCUGUUUCUAGUCUCCUCCAGAAUGUGCUUUCUCCCAGAUGUUUGCUUCUUGCUGGAACCUUUCAUGUGGGAGCAUUGUUUUUAU